AACUAUUACCGUAAUUUCCGGAAGUUUACGACGAACCCGAGAUGGAUCGUAAUGUUAACAAUUUCCAAAGUUUCAUUGCAUCACAAUUCCUUCCGCAACACCCUCAAGCCGCACACCUUCCGGCCGCGCACCAAUAUGCACCCGUUCAAUCCAGUCCGAUUGAUUUGACGCGUCCCAUUCCAGCUCCUCAAAUUCCUCCCUACAGAACUAGCGUAACUCCAGAGCCUAGACGUUUAGAUUAUUAUACGCCGAUAGAGAAUCGAGUUCCAUCUGCUCCUUUGCCAGCUUAUGGUGCUCAUGCUCGAAUUCCUAUAAUCCACAUAACUCCGGAAAAUCACCAUUUUGGACGGACAGUAGAUCCUAAGGUCAAUUACUCACAAGCACAAAAAGAUGCUUUUGAUAGUGCCAAAGGUCAUGAGGCUCCCAGCAGUAACAAUUAUCAAAAUAAACCUUUACUGACGUCGCUAUUAAUGAAAAAAGAUGACUCAAAGUCGUCGUCGUCGUCAUCAAAGAGAACAGCAGCAGUUGUAAAUGAAAAGACCGAGAAAAGAGUAGAACCCGAGAAAAAAAAGACUAAAGAUAGUCAAAAAUCUCAUCAAGCAAAUAUUCCCCUUGAAGAGGAAAAGUACAAAUUUUACAAUAAACGUCAAAUGAUACUCAAUAACAUUCCCUCUCCUACCAUGUCAUCCCACUUGUAUAAUAAACAUCAGGAACAUGCGAUAAAUAGGGCAAGUGCUGGCUCUAUUACCGACGGAGAUGAAAUAUUCGAGGCUAUUCGUGUUGUUGUUCAAAAAUUAUUUGAUGAUAAAUUAAAUUCACUUGUUAAAGAAUUCCAAAAUUCAAUAAUCAACUUAGCUGUGGCCAAUAUGAAAAUAAAUCUAAAAGCUACCGAUGAUCAAAUUGAACAAUGGAUGAAUUCAUUUUGUAGGAAUUUGUUAGAGAAUUCAAAAAGAUUAUAUCCAGUAAAGGAUGACGAAAACCACACAAUUGCCGACGUAUCUGACAGCUCUACGUCAGAUAUAUCAGAGAAUAAAUCAGUUAGGGCAAGAAAGAAACAACUUUUUGAGAAGAGGAGUAGGAGAGUCUCUCCCUCUCCUUCUCCAAGCAUAGAGAAAAUUCCUAAGAAAAAGAAGAAAGUCGGCAGACCUUUACUUCACAAGUAAGUUAAUAUCUAUUUCUAAGAAAAAUCAUAUAUAACUCGUUGUAAGGAUUAAAUAUAAGCAAUCAUCUCGGUACAAGUACUAAAAAUGUAGUAUUUACAACUAAGGAGUAGUUCAAAGUAUUUGAUCUGUCUAGUCCCAAGUUGUAUAGUGCAUAUUUAGAGUCAUGUAUGAAUCGGAUCAGAGCCUUCUUAACAGUAGUAAUAACGGUAUUAAUUCUGAUAAUAUGCAAAAUAAACUAUCUCCGUUUAGGUUACACAAGAUGAAAGAAGUAAUCGUUAGAGAAGGACGCUUGGUAAGUACUUUAAUCAAUCUAAUAAUAAUUUUAGUUUUUUUUUUAUUUUCUCUUCUUUUCUUUAUUUAAAAAUAUCUUCAUUAAAUUCACAGUGGGAGCCGGAAAAUUUAACGACCGAAACACACUUCUUAAUGGGCGCAAAAGCUAAUAAAGCUCUAGGAUAUGGUGCAACAAGGGGCCGAAUGUACAUAAAACAUCCAGAUAUAUUUAAGGUUAAAUUCUUAAUUAUACAUCGUCUAUUUUGUAAAUGUUUUUCUCCUAUCAAUCUUCCUCUCUCUCGCUCUCGUUUUUCACCUUCUCUACUUAUAAUUUACAUAUUUAUUGUUAAAUAUUAAUUAUAUUCUAAAUAGUACUGCGCCGAUUCGGAUGAUAAAGUAUGGCUUCAUCAGCAAAAAUUAAUGCCCGCCACUGGCGGAAGGGCAUAUUUAGUUCUUCAGGAAGAUGUCGACAGAAUCGUCGAUAUGGAUGAAUACAAGUAAAAUUAUUUACAUACAUUCCACAUAUACAAUAUAUUUAUUACUGAUUAUUAAUUUUCUCUUUAUUUCCUCUAUUCCCUUCCCCAUCCUCAUCGACUCGUUAAUAGAGAUCUUGACAAAACUGAUAUAAGAUCAUUAGCUGCGUUUUCUGUGCCAGACUGGAUGAUUAGCAAGAUGAGAUUUUCAAUGGAAUCUGCAAAAAGUUCCAACAAACGAGGACGUUCCAAAGGAGUGUUUCAUGUGCCAAGUCCAGUUACUAGCAUUGAUGAAGAUUGUAGUAGUAUAGCGGAAGAUAUGGAGGAUGAUACGACUUUGCCGUUUUCAUCAAUUCGUACGGAAGAUCAAGAAAGUUAAUAAACUUUAGUGCCUAUUUGUGAUACCUUCAAACAUUUUACUUUUCUUCUGUCUAUUGUACAAAUUGACUCUUUCGAAAUCUGCAAACUCUUUUGUAAACCUGCAUUAUUUAGGAAUGUGUUUAUUAAUUAGUGAACCUCUUUACCAACCUUUUCAACGAAGUCUUGAGCUUUCUGUUUAUUAAUGGGAAAAUGGAAUGUUUUAAUUAAGAAUACAUAUUUUAAUUAUUUUUCGAAAUACAAACUUAAAUCAUUCUA
RNAcentral lists this unclassified non-coding RNA (2542 nucleotides) under Dimorphilus gyrociliatus. RNAcentral's name for it is "dgyrCDS3329". The record is from RNAcentral. Lineage: Eukaryota; Metazoa; Annelida; Polychaeta; Dinophilidae.